This 108-nucleotide non-coding RNA is filed under the name Sphaerobacter thermophilus. RNAcentral's name for it is "TPP sequence". It matches the Rfam family "TPP riboswitch aptamer (THI element)". Rfam says of the family: Vitamin B(1) in its active form thiamin pyrophosphate (TPP) is an essential coenzyme that is synthesised by coupling of pyrimidine and thiazole moieties in bacteria. Lineage: Bacteria; Pseudomonadati; Thermomicrobiota; Thermomicrobia; Sphaerobacterales; Sphaerobacteraceae. RNAcentral also lists the same sequence under 1 other name. The record is from RNAcentral.
GACGGAUGCCAGGGGUGCGCGUGGCGCUGAGAGUGUGGGGAUUGCCCCACCAACCCUCCGAACCUGAUCUGGGUAAUACCAGCGAAGGGACGGCACCGGGAGGUACAG